GUCCACGCCGUAAACGAUGAAUGCUGGUUGUUGGUCUUUAAAGAUCAGUGACGACGUAAACACGAUAAGCAUUCCGCCUGGGGAGUACGAUCGCAAGAUUGAAACUCAAAGGAAUUGACGGGGACCCCGCACAAGCAGCGGAGCAUGUGGUUUAAUUCGAAGCAACGCGAAGAACCUUACCAGGUUUUGACAUAGGAGUGACCGGGUCAGAGAUGAUCCCUUUCUUCGGAACACUCCAUACAGGUGGUGCAUGGUUGUCGU
RNAcentral lists this ribosomal RNA (261 nucleotides) under uncultured bacterium. RNAcentral's name for it is "partial 16S ribosomal RNA". It matches the Rfam family "Bacterial small subunit ribosomal RNA", at positions 793 to 1055 of the family's 1533-position model. The record is from RNAcentral.